RNAcentral lists this ribosomal RNA (330 nucleotides) under uncultured bacterium. RNAcentral describes it as "bacterial SSU rRNA". It matches the Rfam family "Bacterial small subunit ribosomal RNA", at positions 8 to 334 of the family's 1533-position model. The record is from RNAcentral.
AGAGUUUGAUUAUGGCUCAGGAUGAACGCUAGCUACAGGCUUAACACAUGCAAGUCGAGGGGCAUCAGGAUCUAGCAAUAGAUUGCUGGCGACCGGCGCACGGGUGAGUAACACGUAUCCAACCUGCCUUAUACUCGGGGAUAGCCUUUCGAAAGAAAGAUUAAUACCCGAUGUUAUAGUCUAACCGCAUGAUUUGACUAUAAAAGAUUUUCGGUAUAAGAUGGGGAUGCGUUCCAUUAGGCAGUUGGUGGGGUAACGGCCCACCAAACCUUCGAUGGAUAGGGGUUCUGAGAGGAAGGUCCCCCACAUUGGAACUGAGACACGGUCCAA